UCGAUAUGAGCUCUCUACAGACAACAAUACUCCAGGGGUGCCUACUGCCUACUCAACAAUGGUUACCUCAGAGUUCCAACAUCCAAGGUGUACCAUACGUGGAAACUCAAGAACCUAGUUCUAUGUUCUCUGAUAUUAUCAGAAACGUACAAGGCACUAGCACAUCUCGUCAUGGGAAUCCAUUUGUGUAGACAGAUAUCGGCCAAUGCAACGUGACCGCUGCUAGUGAUACCAUGGAUGCUUGCAAGUUUUGAUAGUGCACUGACAAAACCUGUUGUUCCCUUCUUUCUUGUCAUGAGGUUACG
Long non-coding RNA from Asparagus officinalis (garden asparagus), 305 nucleotides. RefSeq lists it as uncharacterized. The record is from RefSeq and is a predicted model, not a curated record. NCBI's taxonomy places the organism in Eukaryota, Viridiplantae, Streptophyta, Magnoliopsida, Asparagales, Asparagaceae. The transcript has 3 exons.